AAUGUGUGCCCAUGGGUGUGUGCAGGUGCACUCAGGACACUGUGUUGUGGUCUGCUGCCUGGAGGCAGACCAGGGCUUAUGCGUGGCUUUUGGCUAGAGUUACUCACAGGUGACCCACGGAGUCAGUGCAGAGGCUACGAGAAUUUGCAUUUGCAUCAAAACAAUGCAGAAUCAAGACUGAAAGAAGUUAAGUAACUUCACUCUAGAUCAUCUGGUAGUGGGUAUAAAGGAGAUCUAGCCCUGGGAAGUUAGGCUCUAAAACCUGUGCCGUUCCCAUGAAAGCACAUUUUCUUCAUAAAAGGCAGGAAUGCUCCCAGGCAAGGAAUAGACACCUAUUUUUCAGAAUUCUGAUCUCUUUGGGGAUUGCCAAAAUGACCUCAAGUAGUGAAGAUAUAGUGGAAUAAUCUGUAUUUCUGCUGACCUUGAUUACAUUUGGAUCUCAUUUGAGGUACUAAGAAGAAUAAGCAAUUGGUUUGAAAAAAGCCCUUUUAAGAGCAAAAUGAAUUCUGCUAAAGUUGAAGCAGGAACAAAUAUCAAAUUUAUGGUGAAGCUCAGGUGGAAGAAUGAUGAAA
This 572-nucleotide non-coding RNA is filed under the name Pan troglodytes (chimpanzee). The record is from RNAcentral. Lineage: Eukaryota; Metazoa; Chordata; Mammalia; Primates; Hominidae.